This 1352-nucleotide ribosomal RNA is filed under the name uncultured bacterium. Its description in RNAcentral is "bacterial SSU rRNA". It matches the Rfam family "Bacterial small subunit ribosomal RNA", at positions 28 to 1381 of the family's 1533-position model. The record is from RNAcentral.
AUUGAACGCUGGCGGCAUGCCUUACACAUGCAAGUCGAACGGCAGCACGGAGCUUGCUCUGGUGGCGAGUGGCGAACGGGUGAGUAAUAUAUCGGAACGUACCCUAGAGUGGGGGAUAACGUAGCGAAAGUUACGCUAAUACCGCAUACGAUCUAAGGAUGAAAGUGGGGGAUCGCAAGACCUCAUGCUCGUGGAGCGGCCGAUAUCUGAUUAGCUAGUUGGUAGGGUAAAAGCCUACCAAGGCAUCGAUCAGUAGCUGGUCUGAGAGGACGACCAGCCACACUGGAACUGAGACACGGUCCAGACUCCUACGGGAGGCAGCAGUGGGGAAUUUUGGACAAUGGGCGAAAGCCUGAUCCAGCAAUGCCGCGUGAGUGAAGAAGGCCUUCGGGUUGUAAAGCUCUUUUGUCAGGGAAGAAACGGUGAAAGCUAAUAUCUUUUGCUAAUGACGGUACCUGAAGAAUAAGCACCGGCUAACUACGUGCCAGCAGCCGCGGUAAUACGUAGGGUGCAAGCGUUAAUCGGAAUUACUGGGCGUAAAGCGUGCGCAGGCGGUUUUGUAAGUCUGAUGUGAAAUCCCCGGGCUCAACCUGGGAAUUGCAUUGGAGACUGCAAGGCUAGAAUCUGGCAGAGGGGGGUAGAAUUCCACGUGUAGCAGUGAAAUGCGUAGAUAUGUGGAGGAACACCGAUGGCGAAGGCAGCCCCCUGGGUCAAGAUUGACGCUCAUGCACGAAAGCGUGGGGAGCAAACAGGAUUAGAUACCCUGGUAGUCCACGCCCUAAACGAUGUCUACUAGUUGUCGGGUCUUAAUUGACUUGGUAACGCAGCUAACGCGUGAAGUAGACCGCCUGGGGAGUACGGUCGCAAGAUUAAAACUCAAAGGAAUUGACGGGGACCCGCACAAGCGGUGGAUGAUGUGGAUUAAUUCGAUGCAACGCGAAAAACCUUACCUACCCUUGACAUGGCUGGAAUCCUUGAGAGAUCAGGGAGUGCUCGAAAGAGAACCAGUACACAGGUGCUGCAUGGCUGUCGUCAGCUCGUGUCGUGAGAUGUUGGGUUAAGUCCCGCAACGGGCGCAACCCUUGUCAUUAGUUGCUACGAAAGGGCACUCUAAUGAGACUGCCGGUGACAAACCGGAGGAAGGUGGGGAUGACGUCAAGUCCUCAUGGCCCUUAUGGGUAGGGCUUCACACGUCAUACAAUGGUACAUACAGAGCGCCGCCAACCCGCGAGGGGGAGCUAAUCGCAGAAAGUGUAUCGUAGUCCGGAUUGUAGUCUGCAACUCGACUGCAUGAAGUUGGAAUCGCUAGUAAUCGCGGAUCAGCAUGUCGCGGUGAAUACGUUCCCGGGUCU